RNAcentral lists this small nucleolar RNA (140 nucleotides) under Metschnikowia bicuspidata var. bicuspidata NRRL YB-4993. The record is from RNAcentral. Lineage: Eukaryota; Fungi; Ascomycota; Pichiomycetes; Serinales; Metschnikowiaceae.
CCCCGAAAUGAUAACUGGAUGGAAUGAUCGGUGUUCAGUCCCUUUCUGUCUUUUAAUUUUUCGGGAGAUCAAAGAGGGAAUGCUUCUUACACGGUUUCAGGUCGUCUGUCCCUCCAACCGUUUUCUUUCCCUCGACAUUU